RNAcentral lists this ribosomal RNA (468 nucleotides) under uncultured bacterium. RNAcentral's name for it is "partial 16S ribosomal RNA". It matches the Rfam family "Bacterial small subunit ribosomal RNA", at positions 28 to 507 of the family's 1533-position model. The record is from RNAcentral.
GACGAACGCUGGCGGCGUGCUUAACACAUGCAAGUCGAACGGAAAGGCCCUGCUUUUGUGGGGUGCUCGAGUGGCGAACGGGUGAGUAACACGUGAGUAACCUGCCCUUGACUUUGGGAUAACUUCAGGAAACUGGGGCUAAUACCGGAUAGGAGCUCCUGCUGCAUGGUGGGGGUUGGAAAGUUUCGGCGGUUGGGGAUGGACUCGCGGCUUAUCAGCUUGUUGGUGGGGUAGUGGCUUACCAAGGCUUUGACGGGUAGCCGGCCUGAGAGGGUGACCGGCCACAUGGGGACUGAGAGACGGACCAGACUCCUACGGGAGGCAGCAGUGGGGAAUAUUGCACAAUGGGCGGAAGCCUGAUGCAGCAACGCCGCGUGCGGGAUGACGGCCUUCGGGUUGUAAACCGCUUUCGCCGGUGACGAAGCGUGAGUGACGGUAAUGGGUAAAGAAGCACCGGCUAACUACGUG